Molecule: small nucleolar RNA, 96 nt
Filed under: Exaiptasia diaphana
Lineage: Eukaryota; Metazoa; Cnidaria; Anthozoa; Actiniaria; Aiptasiidae
Description: small nucleolar SNORD12/SNORD106
Rfam family: Small nucleolar SNORD12/SNORD106
About the family: This family belong to the C/D class of snoRNA which contain the C (UGAUGA) and D (CUGA) box motifs. This family includes the human ortholog of mouse snoRNA HBII-99 and human snoRNA U106.
Source: Rfam by way of RNAcentral
GGAGUGUGGUAUGAUGAUUUAAUCUUUUUUCCCCAGCUUAUCGACCAUGGUGAUACUGUGCUGUAUUUUCAAGCCAAUCUUGUCUGACCACACUAA